UCUAACUUGUUACCCCCUUCUUCAUUUUUCUCCCACCCUCGCUCCAUGGAUCAAUCAAUUCUUAAUGAUGACUCAUGUUGCUUAAUAUUAAAAGAAUAUAUAUAUUUAUAUAUAUUGUUUACCUCAUAAAAACCAGUUGAUGGAUUUAAUUAUAGGAAGUUGUUAAUAAAAUAUUUCAGCAUAAUAGGUAGAGCUCUUAAAUGCUUCUGCAGUAUAAAUGAAACAAAUGCAACAGUUAGGCAAAACAAGUUAAUUCACUUGACAGUAUUCCAAGUUGUAAAAGGACAGACCAGCAUCUGAAUGGAAUGCAUUUAAGAUUUUUAAUGUGGCAAUUAAACAUGGUUUGGGGGCUAUGUAAAUUAGCAUGUUUUUAAACUGCAUUUAUGGUCAUCUUAAUCUGAUAUGGCUGACUUAAUUUCAUAGUCAUUUGAGUACAGUUAAUUCUACUUUAUAGUUGCUUACAAGGAAAUUAUGUUUCAUGCUGUGUGUUGAGGUUUAGUAAAUUAAAGAAAAUUGUUAUUGUUGGGGAAAAAAUUCAUUGUUUAACUAGCAUCUAAACUUGCUGCCUACAAGGGAUUAUUGGUCUAUCAUACUUUAAAAGAUGGUUUUUAAAUCUGUAUUAUAGAUUGACAGUUACAAUAGAAAGACAGAGAUGUACAAAUUUAAUCAAAAGAUCUUUAAACACUGCAGUGGGUCAGUCUACAUUUUCUCGAAGUGGUUAGUGAUUAAUCCAUGGCAGUUGUGAAGAUGUUCCAGUUGCUAAUCCUCUUCUGCCAUAUAUGUGGAUGCCUUUCUGAUCUUCCCAAGAGAUAAUCUAUUGAAAUGAUAAUCUAUUAAGAUUAUAAAUCCA
Perognathus longimembris pacificus (Pacific pocket mouse) is the source of this 850-nucleotide long non-coding RNA. RefSeq lists it as uncharacterized. The transcript is spliced from 4 exons. Lineage: Eukaryota; Metazoa; Chordata; Mammalia; Rodentia; Heteromyidae. The record is from RefSeq and is a predicted model, not a curated record.